GGCUCCAAUUCCUUUACAUCAACCCAACACUGUCUAGGGAACUCAAGCAGUCAGCAUUCCUCUUCCUUCUGGGGUAUUUCUUCUAGUUUCUCUUGCUACCUCUUGGGAUCAUCUGAAGAAUCGAAUUCAAUGUGAUUCAACAAAGAUUUAUUUUUAUUUUAUUUUUUGAAUUAAUUUAUUUAGUCGAUUUAGAACAUUAUUCCUUGGUUACAAUAAUCACAAAAUUUCCCUCCCUCCCUUCCACCCACCCUUCCUGCAGCCAACGUGCAAUUUCAUUGGGUAUUACUUGUGUCCUUGAUCAGAACCUAUUUCCAUGUUGUUGAUGUUUGCAUUAGGAUGUUCAUUUAGAGUCUACAUCCCCAACCAUAUUCCCUCAACCCAUGUAAUCAAGCAGUUGUUUUUCUUUGUUGUUUCUACUCCCACAGUUUUUCUUCUCAAUGUGGAGAGUGGUUUUUCUCGUAGAUCCCUCCAAGUUGUUCAGGAUCACUGCAUUGCCACUAAUGGAGAAGUCCAUUACGUUCGAUUAUACCACAAUGUAUCAGUCUCUGUGUAUAAUGUUCUCCUGGUUCUGCUCCUCUCACUCUGCAUCACUUCCUGGAGGUUGUUCCAGUCUCCAUGGAAUUCCUCUAGUUUAUCAUUCCUUUGAGCACAAUAGUUUUCUAUCACCAACAUAUACCACAAUUUGUUCAGCCAUUCCCCAAUUGGAGGGCAUCCCCUCAUUUUCUAAUUUUUUGCCACCCCAAAGAACGUAUCAGCAAAGAUUUAUUAGCACCUACAGUGUACAAAGAAAGUCCUGGGGAUCCAAGGCAAUACUGAGGCAAUUCCAGCCCUCCAGGAGUUUACAUUAUUCUGGUGGAAGAAAGGGAUACAAGAUAAGCCCAAUAGGGAGAAGCCUGGAGCAAGCAGAGCAGGGAGCCGGAGCUGGAGCUAGAGACCAAGCAGGAGAUGGAGCAGAAGCUGGAGCUGGAGUUUGAAACAGGAGACAGGCUCGAAGAAGGUGCAGCAGAGAGAGCCGGAGGUCAACUUCCGGG
Monodelphis domestica (gray short-tailed opossum) is the source of this 1031-nucleotide long non-coding RNA. The record is from Ensembl. Lineage: Eukaryota; Metazoa; Chordata; Mammalia; Didelphimorphia; Didelphidae.